UACAUAGGGUGCAAGCGUUGUCCGGAAUUAUUGGGCGUAAAGAGCUCGUAGGUCGUUUGCCGCGUCGAUUGUGAAAAUCUGAGGCUCAACCUCAGACCUGCAGUCGAUACGGGCAAACUAGAGUGUGGUAGGGGAGACUGGAAUUCCUGAUGUAGCGGUGGAAUGCGCAGAUAUCAGGAGGAACACCAAUGGCGAAGGCAGGUCUCUGGGCCAUAACUGACACUGAGGAGCGAAAGCGCGGGGAGCGAACAGGAUUAGAUACCCUGGUAGUCCGCGCCGUAAACGAUGGGCACUAGCUGUGAGAACCUUCCACGGUUUUCGCGACACAGCAAACGCAUUAAGUGCCCCGCCUGGGGAGUACGAUCGCAAGAUUAAAACUCAAAGGAAUUGACGGGGCCCCGCACAAGCAGCGGAGCAUGCGGCUUAAUUCGACGCAACGCGAAGAACCUUACCAAGGCUUGACAUAUAGCGAAAAGUGGCAGAGAUGUCAUGUCCGCAAGGGCGCUAUACAGGUGGUGCAUGGUUGUCGUCAGCUCGUGUCGUGAGAUGUUGGGUUAAGUCCCGCAACGAGCGCAACCCUCGUUCUGUGUUACCAGCAUUAAGUUGGGGACUCACAGGAGACUGCCGGGGUCAACUCGGAGGAAGGUGGGGAUGACGUCAAAUCAUCAUGCCCCUUAUGUCUUGGGCUGCACGCAUGCUACAAUGGCCGGUACAAAGUGCUGCGAAAUCGUAAGAUUUAGCGAAUCACAUAAAGCCGGUCUCAGUUCGGAUUGAGGUCUGCAACUCGACCUCAUGAAGUCGGAGUUGCUAGUAAUCGUAGAUCAGCAACGCUACGGUGAAUACGUUCCCGGGGCU
Molecule: ribosomal RNA, 855 nt
Filed under: uncultured bacterium
Lineage: Bacteria
Description: SSU rRNA
Rfam family: Bacterial small subunit ribosomal RNA
Source: RNAcentral